GGUUUGAUCCUGGCUCAGAUUGAACGCUGGCGGCAUGCCUUACACAUGCAAGUCGAACGGCAGCACGGGAGCUUGCUCCUGGUGGCGAGUGGCGAACGGGUGAGUAAUGCAUCGGAACGUAUCCUGGAGUGGGGGAUAACGUAGCGAAAGUUUACGCUAAUACCGCAUAUUCUGUGAGCAGGAAAGCGGGGGACCUUCGGGCCUCGCGCUCUUGGAGCGGCCGAUGUCGGAUUAGCUAGUUGGUGAGGUAAAGUCUCACCAAGGCGACGAUCCGUAGCAGGUCUGAGAGGAUGAUCUGCCACACUGGAACUGAGACACGGUCCAGACUCCUACGGGAGGCAGCAGUGGGGAAUUUUUGGACAAUGGGGGCAACCCUGAUCCAGCCAUGCCGCGUGAGUGAAGAAGG
Molecule: ribosomal RNA, 406 nt
Filed under: bacterium enrichment culture clone ALO1_GLFRUDD03FU758
Lineage: Bacteria
Description: bacterial SSU rRNA
Rfam family: Bacterial small subunit ribosomal RNA
Source: RNAcentral